Molecule: transfer RNA, 67 nt
Filed under: Sydaphera spengleriana
Lineage: Eukaryota; Metazoa; Mollusca; Gastropoda; Neogastropoda; Cancellariidae
Description: tRNA-Val
Source: RNAcentral
UAAAACGUAAUAUAAACUAAUAUGUUUCAUUUACACUGAAAAAAUACUUAAACAUAAGUCGUUUUUA